This 207-nucleotide ribosomal RNA is filed under the name Pictichromis paccagnellae (royal dottyback). RNAcentral describes it as "partial 16S ribosomal RNA". The record is from RNAcentral. Lineage: Eukaryota; Metazoa; Chordata; Actinopteri; Pseudochromidae.
GCCUAACAGCUAGCCUCCCUAAAAUCCCUAACACACCCCUAUCAAUAUCCCCUCACGCAUUACCAUAAUAAAUUAAACCAUUUUUCCCCCUCAGUAUGGGAGACAGAAAAGGAACCCAGAGCAACAGAGAAAGUACCGCAGGGGAACGCUGAAAAAGAAAUGAAAUAACCCAACAUAAGCAUAAAAAAGCAGAGGCUUAGCUCGAUU